UGGGGAAUCUUGCGCAAUGGGCGAAAGCCUGACGCAGCGACGCCGCGUGGGGGAUGAAGGUUUUCGGAUCGUAAACCCCUGUUGCCUGGGACGAACUUCCUGAUUCGUCAGGCUUGACGGUACCGGGUGAGGAAGCCCCGGCUAACUCUGUGCCAGCAGCCGCGGUAAUACAGAGGGUGCGAGCGUUGUCCGGAAUCACUGGGCGUAAAGGGCGCGUAGGUGGCGGGCCAAGUCUGUGGUGAAAGCUCGAUGCUCAACAUCGAGUCGGCCACGGAGACUGGUUUGCUGGAGCACUGUAGGGGCAGGCGGAAUUCCGGGUGUAGCGGUGGAAUGCGUAGAGAUCCGGAAGAACACCGGUGGCGAAGGCGGCCUGCUGGGCAGUGGCUGACGCUGAGGCGCGACAGCGUGGGGAGCAAA
RNAcentral lists this ribosomal RNA (417 nucleotides) under uncultured bacterium. RNAcentral describes it as "bacterial SSU rRNA". It matches the Rfam family "Bacterial small subunit ribosomal RNA", at positions 355 to 772 of the family's 1533-position model. The record is from RNAcentral.